GACUUGAGUAAAUCGUUUUCACCUUGGACUCUCACCGUUUCCUUAAGAAUAAGAAAUAUAGGAAAUCUGAGCGUCCUCUCCCAGCAAUCCCAAGUUAUUUCGUUGAAAAAAACAUUCAUAAGUUGUCGGACGCUAGAUCCUACAGGACAGGUCUGCUGUAUCGCCGCGCCUAUCAUUGCUGAGGGGUGAGCGCCCUUGCUAUCAGGUAUCAGGCUACUUUAUGUUUAUGCCAUUGCCACUUGCCAGCGGCCGGAUGCCCUCCCCAACUAGAUUACGCGCCCCUAAUUGUACUGCCUCCAGCCACUAUGGUGCCGAAGCUCCAGCCCAUUUAAUCCGAGGUUUUAUCUCUUCUCGACGUCCCAAACGCUUCAUCUCUAUGGUGCUUGGUGAUGGCACAAAUAUGGAAUCGAUGGAUAGUAGGAUUUAUGGAUGCAUAGUUAGAUACUUGAAGAUGAAAAUAUGGAAUAAAAAGAUGCAUACACAGAUGAUUGGAUUCUCAGUACGGUUAUAGAGAGAAAAAUGAUCUAUUACGACAUGCCCAUGCAAGGUGCAGAGGCUAUCAUGCCUCCAUGUCCUCAAGGGGUCAUCCCUAAAUCAGAGAUUGCACAUACUCUUGAAAAACUCCCUGCUCAUUGCUGGCGAGGAGACAUAGGCUCCUGGAUACUUAGAGACAGAACGAUGCCCAUAUGACUGCUAGAACAUAAUGUAAGUAUGAAGCUUCUUAAGUAUGGGAAUUAUUUAUAAGCACAAGUCUUUAGUUCAAAGAUAUGAUCAAACAUCAUGAGCACAGCCCGCAACAAUAUGGCGCUCCUUAGCUCAUGGUGUUUAUAUGGUGGAGAGCACUUUAAGCCUAUAAAAUCGCGCUUAAAGGUUAAAAUCAUCAGCAAACAUUUGGAUUUCAUCUAUGUAUAUGGAAUAAAUAGAUGCAUACACGGAUGAUUGGAUUCUCGGUAUGAUUAGAUAGAGAUAAAUGAUCUAUUGCGACAUGCCCAGGCAAGGUGGAGACGCCGUACAUGCCUCCAUGCCCUUAAGGUCAUGCCUGAAUUAGGGAUUGCACAUACUCUUGCUGAUCUCCCUGGUAGUGUUCGACUCGAUUAAGGAAGUUUGCUUCAUUUAAUUGUACGCUAUUUUCUGAUCUUCUGCAAAUACCAGUGGAAAUAUUUAAGUUAUUCAAAUGUACAAAUGUUGUUUUUCUGCAUCUCACUGGCGGCAAGGAGACAUAGGCUCAUCGAGACUGAGGAAAGAAAGAAGCCGAUAUGACUUCUGGAACAUAACGUAAGUAUGAAGCUAAGUAUGGGAAAUUAUUUGUAAGUACAAGUCUUUAGCUCACAGAUAUGAUCAAACAUCAUGAGUACUGCCAGCAGCAAUAUGGUGGUCCUUAGGUCAUCGUGUUUAUGUUGGAGAGUACUUUGAGUCUAUAAAAUCGCACUUAGAUGUUAAAAUCAUCAGCAAACAACAUUUGGAUUUCAUCUAUAGAUAGUGUGACGGAACUAAAGAAUCACAGUUUUUUAAAUAUUAUAUGAAAUAUAGUAUUUUCUGUAUAGUACAUAAAAUAUAUUGGUAAACAGAACAAUGAUAUAGUUCCGUGAUUUGUUUUAGGCAACUGCUCAAGUCUUGAAGAUGACUAUAACACUAAAGUGAUGUGAAAUAUUAUGAAAAGGUUAUUUUGGAAUAUAUGCAACAUGAUAUUUUUUUCUUGAUCUUCAAUAUCAGUGAACAAGUCAAUAUUUGCAGGAAAAGGUCUCAGACAGUCGGGGUAAUGGGGCGUCUGUGAAGGUCAUGAUAGGUGUGCGACAUCAUCAGCGGACUUCAUAGAAUUUAACAUUAAUUAGAUCUUCCAUGGGACAAACUGCGAGGGGUUGUCUUUGAGUUUGCCCAUGUUGCCAAAAGUGCCAGUUCUGGGAGAAAUUUCUACUUUUUACUUGAUCCAAUAUACGGGCACACUAAUAGUUCAGUAGCCUUUGUCGGUUGUCAAUAUCGUCAUUGGUCAAGCUUCUCUAGGUGUGAAGAUUGUCUGUACUCAAUUUCUCGCCCAGUUCCUAUAUAGACUUUUUAGUCCGUUGGUUCAA
Molecule: long non-coding RNA, 2069 nt
Organism: Triticum aestivum (bread wheat)
Lineage: Eukaryota; Viridiplantae; Streptophyta; Magnoliopsida; Poales; Poaceae
Exons: 3
Source: RefSeq, a predicted model, not a curated record